UACAGAGGGUGCGAGCGUUAAUCGGAAUUACUGGGCGUAAAGCGCGCGUAGGCGGCUUUGCAAGUCGGGUGUGAAAUCCCCAGGCUUAACCUGGGAACUGCAUUCGAGACUGCAUUGCUAGAGUAUGGGAGAGGGAAGUGGAAUUUCCGGUGUAGCGGUGAAAUGCGUAGAUAUCGGGAGGAACACCAGUGGCGAAGGCGGCUUCCUGGCCUGUUCUUGACGCUGAGGCGCGAAAGCUAGGGGAGCAAACGGG
This 253-nucleotide ribosomal RNA is filed under the name uncultured bacterium. Its description in RNAcentral is "partial 16S ribosomal RNA". It matches the Rfam family "Bacterial small subunit ribosomal RNA", at positions 524 to 776 of the family's 1533-position model. The record is from RNAcentral.